CAGGAUUGGCGUUUGAUAUUUUUAAUUUUUAUGAGAAUUUCUCUCUUUUUCUAGCUUGUCUUGUGGGAACUAAUGUGGAGUCUCCAAUGGAAAAAGAAAUGAGACUACAUUACUACAAAACUAUUACCAUAGGCUACCUCUCAUUUGUUAAAUAUUCGAACACAAUACUUAUAUAGAUAUAUACUUAAUAUCUUCGUCCAAUUGUGAUAGAUUUUAGUUAGUAAUUACUCUAUAA
Molecule: long non-coding RNA, 235 nt
Filed under: Setaria viridis
Lineage: Eukaryota; Viridiplantae; Streptophyta; Magnoliopsida; Poales; Poaceae
Description: long non-coding RNA (SVIR_LNC001403)
Source: RNAcentral